UCUGGGGAGACUGGAGAAUGCAGUGCAGGAGCCGCAGGAGCCAAAAAGGGGCACUGGUCCUGCGAAGAGUGGCUCUGUCCAUCCCUGCCUCCCAGUAUGUGCCCACUGUGACCAGAGCUCCAUUUCUCAAAAGAAGCCAGUGAUGCCAAUUACCAUGAGAAAUUUCCUUAUUUUUAACUGUCGAUUAAAAUUUGUACAAGUAUGGUGGGGCAGGCCUGCAAAAUGAUCUCCAAGUGCCUGGCCUUUGAUGCCCAUCCUAAAAGCAUGUGUGGCACUGGAGGGCCCACGUUUCUUUGUUCCUCUUGAGAAGCUGGGGUGGGGGCCGGCUGGGCUCAGGGUGCGGCCCCUCACUUCCCAGGGCUGUGGUCUCGGUGGGGCCUGCACUGUUCCUGGGUGUCCUCGGGCUGAGCCUCUGCCCUGUGAGGACGGCCGCUCAGGCACGAGCCGUCAGCGAAGCCGUGGCUGUGACUCUGUUUUCCGCAGUGGAGCGGAGGCGGAGGGACAAGAUCAACAACUGGAUCGUCCAGCUUUCGAAAAUCAUUCCAGACUGUAAUGCAGACAACAGCAAGACGGGAGCGAGUAAAGGAGGGAUCCUGUCCAAGGCCUGCGAUUACAUCCGGGAGUUGCGCCAGACCAACCAGCGCAUGCAGGAGACCUUCAAAGAGGCCGAGCGGCUGCAGAUGGACAACGAGCUCCUGAGGCAGCAGAUCGAGGAGCUGAAGAAUGAGAACGCCCUGCUUCGAGCCCAGCUGCAGCAGCACAACCUGGAGAUGGUGGGCGAGGGCACCCGGCAGUGACGCCCGCCACCACCACGCAGCCGCCGCCGCCCACACCGGCCUCUGCUGCCC
RNAcentral lists this small RNA (848 nucleotides) under Pan troglodytes (chimpanzee). Its description in RNAcentral is "retained intron". Lineage: Eukaryota; Metazoa; Chordata; Mammalia; Primates; Hominidae. The record is from RNAcentral.